CAGUCGCCACGGUAAUACGUAGGUGGCAAGCGUUGUCCGGAAUUAUUGGGCGUAAAGCGCGCGCAGGUGGUUAAGUAAGUCUGAUGUGAAAGCCCACGGCUCAACCGUGGAGGGUCAUUGGAAACUGUUAAACUUGAGUGCAGGAGAGAAAAGUGGAAUUCCUAGUGUAGCGGUGAAAUGCGUAGAGAUUAGGAGGAACACCAGUGGCGAAGGCGGCUUUUUGGCCUGUAACUGACACUGAGGCGCGAAAGCGUGGGGAGCAAACAGGAUUAGAUACCCGUGUAGUCCCUGUCUCUUAUAC
This 301-nucleotide ribosomal RNA is filed under the name uncultured bacterium. RNAcentral's name for it is "partial 16S ribosomal RNA". It matches the Rfam family "Bacterial small subunit ribosomal RNA", at positions 509 to 807 of the family's 1533-position model. The record is from RNAcentral.